GGGACAUGUGGCAGUUGACUUACGUGGUAACGUGCUCAUGCUUUGGCUCUGGCCAUCACUACUUGGGUGAACAUUGCUGGAAAGAAACAAUAGAGAGAAUUCAAGAAGGUCAUUCAGAGAUGAAGAAAAUGGAGAAAAAGGAGCUUCUAGAGGAGCCCCUCCCACCCCCUCGGCCCUGUCUGCCCCGCUCUCUGAUCUCUUUCCAGCACCUCCUGUCUUCUUCAGGCCCAGAGCUCUUCACUAACAACUUACCGUCUCAGAGAAAAUCUAUUGCAGAGACCAUAAGUUCGUGUAGAGCACAGAACAAGAAGACCCAAGGCGACAGGAAUGAGGAUCACAGGAAGAGGCCUCAGCCCUGAGCCAGAAGAGUCCACGCUCUGAAGCCUCAGCAAGCAGUCAUGCCGGGUGCGGGCAUGAGCCCGUUGGAACAGAGGAUGGGGAGGAGGUGCCAGAAGAUAGGAGUUGAGUUGAUUGAUGUCUGCUGGCCUCGAUUAUCUUGAUGAAUCAGGAGGUGAGAGGGAAUGGUAAUGGAGUAGUUCUGAAGAAAAUCAGACCAGCACAGCCUCGAAAGGAGAGGCGUUUAGGACUCAGCUGAAAGAGGACACCCCUACCCUGCUGGACUUUUAAGCUGAAAGUUUGGUACCCCUUAACCCAACAUGGCAGUAAUAUCAUCAACACUUGUUCAUUCCAACUGUCCCUGUUCUCCUCGGUCUUGUGCUCUUCUCCAUCCCGACAGCCAUUCUCUCAGAACAGGCCCACCGCUUGUCUCAUCAUCUGCAGUGAAACACAGGCGAUCUUCCUGCUCUGUGUCCCCACCCCCACCACACAGGCCUCUAACAAACCUCGGCACACGGCUCCAUGCUAAAAAGUCGUCAGUGACUCCCUUGCCUGUAAGACAGAAGUCAAAUUCCUUUCUUUGAUAUAAGACCGGAUAAAUUGAAAAAUGGCAACAAAAUUUCUCAAUUAUAUAAAUACAUUUUUGCAUA
Long non-coding RNA from Peromyscus maniculatus bairdii (prairie deer mouse), 986 nucleotides. RefSeq lists it as uncharacterized. Lineage: Eukaryota; Metazoa; Chordata; Mammalia; Rodentia; Cricetidae. The record is from RefSeq and is a predicted model, not a curated record.